This 497-nucleotide ribosomal RNA is filed under the name uncultured bacterium. RNAcentral describes it as "partial 16S ribosomal RNA". It matches the Rfam family "Bacterial small subunit ribosomal RNA", at positions 28 to 507 of the family's 1533-position model. The record is from RNAcentral.
GACGAACGCUGGCGGCGUGCCUAAUACAUGCAAGUUGAGCGCUGAAGGUUGGUACUUGUACCAACUGGAUGAGCAGCGAACGGGUGAGUAACGCGUGGGGAAUCUGCCUUUGAGCGGGGGACAACACUUGGAAACGAAUGCUAAUACCGCAUAAAAACUUUAAACACAAGUUUUAAGUUUGAAAGAUGCAAUUGCAUCACUCAAAGAUGAUCCCGCGUUGUAUUAGCUAGUUGGUGAGGUAAAGGCUCACCAAGGCGAUGAUACAUAGCCGACCUGAGAGGGUGAUCGGCCACAUUGGGACUGAGACACGGCCCAAACUCCUACGGGAGGCAGCAGUAGGGAAUCUUCGGCAAUGGACGAAAGUCUGACCGAGCAACGCCGCGUGAGUGAAGAAGGGUUUCGGAUCGUAAAACUCUGUUGGUAGAGAAGAACGUUGGUGAGAGUGGAAAGCUCAUCAAGUGACGGUAACUACCCAGAAAGGGACGGCUAACUACGUG